GGAAACAAUAGGAUAUUUAAAUUGCAUCUGCAAAAACUGUGGACCUUCAAGGGUUUUACAAAAUCUUCUUGCAUUUGAGCAUAUAAAACCAAGAUCACUAUAUAAAACCAAGAUCACUAAAUUAUCUGGGUUAUAAAUGAUGCUAGCCUUUGAGAGCCUUAUUUUUAUUAAAUAUUCAAUGUGUGUCAGUAUGACCAACUAAAUACCUCCCGAAGCUAAAAGGUUACUCUAGUUGUCUCAUCUUCAUUUGAUUGCUAGGUUUAAUUUUCUUGCCUUCUAUAUCAUAUUUAACCUGUUCUUUCAAGAUCUCAUCAUUCACAGGAUUGAAUAUAGCAAAAUUUUCCAAAGAUUCUCUCGACUUGAAUUUAACAUCAUUUAUAGAGCCAAUAAUUUUCAGCAAAAUACCCGACUGUAAAUAGGAAAAAGAAAAAAAUAAGAAGCAAGUGUGUAGGGGUGAGUAUACCGUUCAAACCGAACCGAAUUAAAUUAGGAAAUUGAAUUACUUAUUUUAGAAAUCGAACCGAACCGAAAUAGAUGAAAAAUAGAAUCGAACCAAACCGUUCUAUUUUGGUUCGGUUCGGUUCAAACCAAUCAGUUUUGAUUUUUGAUUGAUU
RNAcentral lists this unclassified non-coding RNA (614 nucleotides) under Hevea brasiliensis (rubber tree). The record is from RNAcentral. Lineage: Eukaryota; Viridiplantae; Streptophyta; Magnoliopsida; Malpighiales; Euphorbiaceae.